UGGGGAAUUUUGGACAAUGGGCGAAAGCCUGAUCCAGCAAUGCCGCGUGUGUGAAGAAGGCCUUCGGGUUGUAAAGCACUUUUGUCCGGAAAGAAAUCCUUGGCUCUAAUACAGUCGGGGGAUGACGGUACCGGAAGAAUAAGCACCGGCUAACUACGUGCCAGCAGCCGCGGUAAUACGUAGGGUGCAAGCGUUAAUCGGAAUUACUGGGCGUAAAGCGUGCGCAGGCGGUUUGCUAAGACCGAUGUGAAAUCCCCGGGCUCAACCUGGGAACUGCAUUGGUGACUGGCAGGCUAGAGUAUGGCAGAGGGGGGUAGAAUUCCACGUGUAGCAGUGAAAUGCGUAGAGAUGUGGAGGAAUACCGAUGGCGAAGGCAGCCCCCCUGGGCCAAUACUGACGCUCAUGCACGAAAGCGUGGGGAGCAAACAGGAUUAGAUACCCUGGUAGUCCACGCCCUAAACGAUGUCAACUAGUUGUUGGGGAUUCAUUUCCUUAGUAACGUAGCUAACGCGUG
RNAcentral lists this ribosomal RNA (514 nucleotides) under uncultured bacterium. RNAcentral describes it as "partial 16S ribosomal RNA". It matches the Rfam family "Bacterial small subunit ribosomal RNA", at positions 355 to 861 of the family's 1533-position model. The record is from RNAcentral.